GUUUCCUGAAAAGUUAAAGGUUGAGGGACAAGAACAUGAAACUUUUCUAUAUCUAAAUGUUAUGUAUAUUUAUACAAUUGAACUUUGAAGAUUGCAAUCUUAUGUAAUAGGAGAGCAUUUGACCAUGAAUGAGCAACGUUUAUAUUCACACUGUCAAAAUAAAAUGCACUGAUUUAUGGUUUUCCUAGCUGGGUGAAUAUUCAUGCAUAGCUUUCCAUUUGCCCUCUGAACUCUCUAAUUCUUAUUCAGAUGCGAAGUCUGGAUGCGCGCAUUCCUUUUCCUUUGUUUCUUCGUCCUAGGAAUUUAGAUAUGCAAAUUUAACACUAGCGCGCAAGUGACUGGGUUACGUUUGGGGAGAGUGUGAAUGUGUACGUGUUAUACGUUAGCGAGAGUGGUGGGCAGAAGCCAUUUUGUUGCGAGUAGAGAAGGACCUGCUGUGUCGCCCUUGGGGAGGGAGUACGUUUGAGAGUGAAGGGAGGAUUUUUGGGCUUGCUGUUCAGAGCGAGUGUGGUCCCCUUUUUUAUUGCUGCUUUCUCAUUCUGCUGUUGGGAGCGGAAGGAGCAGACAACCGUCCUUCGGACACGAUCCCUCCAGGAGGCAGGCAACGGGGUCUUCAAUCUACAGAAUAACUCCGUUUAGGGUGGUGUUCAACCACAUUCCAUUGAUCGACUCUCCGAAGUACAAGAGACCGAUUUAGACUGUUUCCUACCCUGCAAUAUGGUGAACUCAUCACGAGCCAUCGAGCCAUUCGACCCAGUUCUCGUUCUACAUGAUUCCACGGUCAUCUAACGCGGUGGUCAUUUUCGCGCACACAAUCGUCUGACGCGGUGGACUUUGUCACGCACUCCAACGUUUGUAACGCGUUAUCCAUUGAACGAAUAGUAUAAUGGCAGCCUUAAUUUAAUUGACCCUCUUAGGAAAUUAUAAGCUGAUAUAUUUUGGAUUUGUCAACGCUCAAUAUCUUGAAUUUAUGUUGCAUUUCGUUGUAUUGUGUAAUUAAAAUCACCACUAUCAUA
Strongylocentrotus purpuratus (purple sea urchin) is the source of this 1016-nucleotide long non-coding RNA. RefSeq lists it as uncharacterized. NCBI's taxonomy places the organism in Eukaryota, Metazoa, Echinodermata, Echinoidea, Camarodonta, Strongylocentrotidae. The transcript is spliced from 2 exons. The record is from RefSeq and is a predicted model, not a curated record.